This 491-nucleotide ribosomal RNA is filed under the name Salmonella enterica. RNAcentral's name for it is "bacterial SSU rRNA". It matches the Rfam family "Bacterial small subunit ribosomal RNA", at positions 1031 to 1522 of the family's 1533-position model. Lineage: Bacteria; Pseudomonadati; Pseudomonadota; Gammaproteobacteria; Enterobacterales; Enterobacteriaceae. The record is from RNAcentral. RNAcentral also lists the same sequence under 3 other names.
GAGACAGGUGCUGCAUGGCUGUCGUCAGCUCGUGUUGUGAAAUGUUGGGUUAAGUCCCGCAACGAGCGCAACCCUUAUCCUUUGUUGCCAGCGAUUAGGUCGGGAACUCAAAGGAGACUGCCAGUGAUAAACUGGAGGAAGGUGGGGAUGACGUCAAGUCAUCAUGGCCCUUACGACCAGGGCUACACACGUGCUACAAUGGCGCAUACAAAGAGAAGCGACCUCGCGAGAGCAAGCGGACCUCAUAAAGUGCGUCGUAGUCCGGAUUGGAGUCUGCAACUCGACUCCAUGAAGUCGGAAUCGCUAGUAAUCGUGGAUCAGAAUGCCACGGUGAAUACGUUCCCGGGCCUUGUACACACCGCCCGUCACACCAUGGGAGUGGGUUGCAAAAGAAGUAGGUAGCUUAACCUUCGGGAGGGCGCUUACCACUUUGUGAUUCAUGACUGGGGUGAAGUCGUAACAAGGUAACCGUAGGGGAACCUGCGGUUGGA